CUAGAGUGUGAUAGAGGUAAGUGGAAUUUCUAGUGUAGAGGUGAAAUUCGUAGAUAUUAGAAAGAACACCAAAUGCGAAGGCAACUUUCUGGGUCACUACUGACACUGAGGAGCGAAAGCAUGGGUAGCGAAGAGGAUUAGAUACCCUCGUAGUCCAUGCCGUAAACGAUGUGUGCUAGACGUUGGAAAUAAUAUUUUUCUAGUGUCGCAGCGAAAGACAUUAAGCACACCGCCUGGGGAGGUACGACCGCAAGGUUAAAACUCAAAUGAAUUGACGGGGACCCGCACAAGCGGUGGAGCAUGUGGUUUAAUUCGAUGCAACGCGAAAAACCUUACCUACUCUUGACAUACUUGGAAGCUCUUGUAAUGAGAGUGUGCCUUUUGGAGCCAAGAUACAGGUGCUGCAUGGCU
Molecule: ribosomal RNA, 411 nt
Filed under: uncultured Rickettsiales bacterium
Lineage: Bacteria; Pseudomonadati; Pseudomonadota; Alphaproteobacteria; Rickettsiales
Description: bacterial SSU rRNA
Rfam family: Bacterial small subunit ribosomal RNA
Source: RNAcentral